RNAcentral lists this ribosomal RNA (254 nucleotides) under uncultured bacterium. Its description in RNAcentral is "partial 16S ribosomal RNA". It matches the Rfam family "Bacterial small subunit ribosomal RNA", at positions 524 to 776 of the family's 1533-position model. The record is from RNAcentral.
UACAGAGGUCCCGAGCGUUUGUUCGGAUUCACUGGGCGUAAAGGGUGCGUAGGUGGCUUGAAAAGUUUGAUGUGAAAGCUCAGGGCUUAACCCUGAAAUGGCAUUGAAUACUGUCGGGCUGGAGGUUUGGAGGGGGGACUGGAAUUCUUGGUGUAGCAGUGAAAUGCGUAGAUAUCAAGAGGAACACCAGUGGCGAAGGCGAGUCCCUGGACAACACCUGACACUGAGGCACGAAAGCUAGGGGAGCAAACGGG